CCUGAUUGAUGUGGUCCCAGACUUAAGCAGGCUCCCUUCAUUGAACCAAGCACACAGGAGGCGCGGAAGGGAGUAUGGGGGGAAGAUCCCUCAUAUUCAGGCAGUGAGGAAGAAAAAAAUGCACGUUCACCCCAUUAUUUCAAGUACCGCAAGCACACCUUUGCACAGCCCUAGUCUAAGAGUCCAGGCUCUGAAGAGUAACGUCUGCUGCUACACUCUUGAGAGCUGGAGAAAGCUCUCUUUCAAAGGCCUCUUGUGAUCAAGUCAGGGCCACCUGAAUAAUAACCCCAUUUGAAGGUGAAUUGUCCCAUAUAACAUAACCUGAUUUAAUCAGGAGAGAAAAGUCUACCACAUUCAUUUCCCUGGAGCUUAUUCUGGGGGAGGCUAGCUUCCAUGUUGAGAGACGAGCCCUAUGGAGAGGCCUAUGAUGAGAAACUGACUCCUGUCAACAGCCUCAUGAGUGAACUUAGAAGUGGAUCCCCCAGUCCUGGUGAAGUCUUAAAAACUACAAGUGCCGCUGACAGCUUACUGCAACCUCGUGAGAGAUCCUGAGGUGGAAGUGGCCAGCUAAGGCACUCCGUUUCCUGAUCCUCAGGAAGUGUGUGAGAUCAUCAAUGUCAGUCGUUUUAAGCUGUCAGAUUGAAAGGAAUAAGUGUGAGCCUGAGGAAGGAAGAUAAAACCAGACCGUGAAUGGAAGAGAAUGGAAAGUGAGGAACAUUAGGCAAAGGAAAAUGAUAGUCCAGAAUUUCCUCAACGGACCAAAUUUAUUACAAAACAUUUUCUCCCCAUGGCUGCAAGGAGGCUAUUAAAAAUAUUUAAAAGCUGGAAUGUCACAGGAGUUGAGCAAUCAGCAUAGACAGCUGAACCGGGUAGCGUAGUGAAGAGUCCUGGAGGCCCCUGGAAUGCCAGAGGUUGGCCCUUUGUGGCCAUAUUCAGAACUGCGAAGUUCCUGGAGGGUCAUGAAGAGAGAAGUAGGGUGCUCCGGGGCUCAGAACACCUCCUAGUUACCGACUGUUACAUAAGCGUUUUAAUAUAGUAACAGGAGGUGUGGUUAUAUUGGUGCAACUGAGCAUCAGCACGGACUGGCUGAACAAAUUGAUAACAGCAGACAGAACUCUGACUUAUGAACAACUCUAGAAUUUUUGCUCUAGAAUUUCCACCAGAAAAAAAAUGGAGAAGAGUAUGUGCACUGUGCAAGAAUACAUAUUUAGUCUCUUACACAGAGACUGGUGAUAACAGUAAGAAUAUGAGACAGCUGACAAGUUAGUAGUUUUAGCUACAUAACCCCAUUUCCCUCAGAGUGAAAAACUCUGCCUUGCAUACUAGAAAUUUAUAAAUAAGCUAAUCUUCUUUGUUGGUUUCUUAUGUUGUAUUUUGAAAGAUAAUGUGUGUAAAACGUUCACUGAAGAAAACUGAGAAAAUGAACAGAAUUUGGUCUUUUAAAAUGAGUUUCAUACUUUGGGAAUAAAUAUGUUAAUGUAAUAGAUCAACAAAGGUCUGGUCAUUUUUGCAAAGAUUCCCUCUGAUGGGCAAAUGGUAGCAUGAUGAUUCAUGUGACAUAGUCAACACCACAGGGGAAGAGGGAACAGAGGAGGAGAAUAUUCCAGAAGACUGCAGAGAUAUGAACUGAGGAAAGUUUAUGAAGCUAAUCCACAUUCUCAGACAAAUGAGCACCAUUAAUAAGCAAAAUGAGAAACUGAGUGUAAGUGUAUUUCCUUAAAUAACACAAUUAAAAAGUUCUGUAUUGUUAGUAGUAGCCUAAAAAACUUUAUUAUAUCUGAUGUACCACUGGAAACAUCCUCAAAAUCCUUUUAUAUUGGAUUAUAUAGCUG
RNAcentral lists this long non-coding RNA (1832 nucleotides) under Equus caballus (horse). RNAcentral describes it as "lncRNA (ENSECAG00000046835.1)". The record is from RNAcentral. Lineage: Eukaryota; Metazoa; Chordata; Mammalia; Perissodactyla; Equidae.